Molecule: ribosomal RNA, 472 nt
Filed under: uncultured bacterium
Lineage: Bacteria
Description: bacterial SSU rRNA
Rfam family: Bacterial small subunit ribosomal RNA
Source: RNAcentral
UUACGCACUCCUACGGGAGGCAGCAGUGGGGAAUAUUGCACAAUGGGCGCAAGCCUGAUGCAGCCAUGCCGCGUGUAUGAAGAAGGCCUUCGGGUUGUAAAGUACUUUCAGCAGUGAGGAAGGUGGGUAUGUUAAUAGCAUACUCAUUUGACGUUAGCUGCAGAAGAAGCACCGGCUAACUCCGUGCCAGCAGCCGGCGGUAAUACGGAGGGUGCGAGCGUUAAUCGGAAUUACUGGGCGUAAAGCGCAUGCAGGUGGUUUGUUAAGUCAGAUGUGAAAGCCCGGGGCUCAACCUCGGAAUUGCAUUUGAAACUGGCAAACUAGAGUACUGUAGAGGGGGUAGAAUUUCAGGUGUAGCGGUGAAAUGCGUAGAGAUCUGAAGGAAUACCGGUGGCGAAGGCGGCCCCCUGGACAGAUACUGACACUCAGAUGCGAAAGCGUGGGGAGCAAACAGGAUUAGAUACCCUGGUAG